RNAcentral lists this ribosomal RNA (467 nucleotides) under uncultured bacterium. RNAcentral's name for it is "partial 16S ribosomal RNA". It matches the Rfam family "Bacterial small subunit ribosomal RNA", at positions 29 to 507 of the family's 1533-position model. The record is from RNAcentral.
ACGAACGCUGGCGGCGUACUUAACACAUGCAAGUCGAACGGAAAGGCCCUGCUUUUGUGGGGUGCUCGAGUGGCGAACGGGUGAGUAACACGUGAGUAACCUGCCCUUGACUUUGGGAUAACUUCAGGAAACUGGGGCUAAUACCGGAUAGGAGCUCCUGCUGCAUGGUGGGGGUUGGAAAGUUUCGGCGGUUGGGGAUGGACUCGCGGCUUAUCAGCUUGUUGGUGGGGUAGUGGCUUACCAAGGCUUUGACGGGUAGCCGGCCUGAGAGGGUGACCGGCCACAUUGGGACUGAGAUACGGCCCAGACUCCUACGGGAGGCAGCAGUGGGGAAUAUUGCACAAUGGGCGGAAGCCUGAUGCAGCAACGCCGCGUGCGGGAUGACGGCCUUCGGGUUGUAAACCGCUUUCGCCUGUGACGAAGCGUGAGUGACGGUAAUGGGUAAAGAAGCACCGGCUAACUACGUG